AGGACGAACGCUGGCGGCGUGCUUAACACAUGCAAGUCGAGCGGUAAGGCCUUUCGGGGUACACGAGCGGCGAACGGGUGAGUAACACGUGGGUGAUCUGCCCUGCACUUCGGGAUAAGCCUGGGAAACUGGGUCUAAUACCGGAUAUGACCUCCUAUCGCAUGGUGGGUGGUGGAAAGAUUUAUCGGUGCAGGAUGGGCCCGCGGCCUAUCAGCUUGUUGGUGGGGUAAUGGCCUACCAAGGCGACGACGGGUA
This 255-nucleotide ribosomal RNA is filed under the name uncultured soil bacterium. RNAcentral describes it as "partial 16S ribosomal RNA". It matches the Rfam family "Bacterial small subunit ribosomal RNA", at positions 26 to 285 of the family's 1533-position model. The record is from RNAcentral.